This 360-nucleotide ribosomal RNA is filed under the name uncultured microorganism. Its description in RNAcentral is "bacterial SSU rRNA". It matches the Rfam family "Archaeal small subunit ribosomal RNA", at positions 330 to 689 of the family's 1478-position model. The record is from RNAcentral.
GCGCAGCAGGCGCGAAACCUCCACAAUGCACGAAAGUGUGAUGGGGUUACCCUGAGUGCCAUCCGAUGAGGAUGGCUUUUCACCAGUGUAAGGCGCUGGUGGAAUAAGGGGAGGGCAAGGCUGGUGCCAGCCGCCGCGGUAAAACCAGCUCCUCGAGUGGUCGGGAUGAUUAUUGGGCCUAAAGCGUCCGUAGCCGGUCUGGUAAGUCCCCGGUUAAAUCCGGCAGCCUAACUGUCGGCCUGCUGGGGAUACUGCUAGACUUGGGGGUGGGAUAGGCUAAAAGGUACUCCCAGGGUAGGGGUGGAAAUCCGUAUAAUCCUGGGGGGACCACCAGUGGCGAAGGCGUUUAGCUGGAACACG